CCUACAAUUUUUGCGGGGAUACAGUAGGGAGGCAGCAGUGGGGAAUCUUGCGCAAUGGGCGAAAGCCUGACGCAGCCAUGCCGCGUGAAUGAUGAAGGUCUUAGGAUUGUAAAAUUCUUUCACCGGGGACGAUAAUGACGGUACCCGGAGAAGAAGCCCCGGCUAACUUCGUGCCAGCAGCCGCGGUAAUACGAAGGGGGCUAGCGUUGCUCGGAAUUACUGGGCGUAAAGGGAGCGUAGGCGGACAUUUAAGUCAGGGGUGAAAUCCCGGGGCUCAACCUCGGAAUUGCCUUUGAUACUGGGUGUCUUGAGUAUGAGAGAGGUGUGUGGAACUCACGAGUGUAGAGGUGAAAUUCGUAGAUAUUCGGAAGAACACCAGUGGCGAAGGCGACACACUGGCUCAUUACUGACGCUGAGGCUCGAAAGCGUGGGGAGCAAACAGGAUUAGAUACCCUGGUAGUCCACGCCGUAAACGAUGAUUGCUAGUUGUCGGGAUGCAUGCAUUUCGGUGACGCAGCUAACGCAUUAAGCAAUCCGCCUGGGGAGUACGGUCGCAAGAUUAAAACUCAAAGGAAUUGACGGAAUCGCGGUGCCGAAAUGGCGUUG
RNAcentral lists this ribosomal RNA (606 nucleotides) under Brevundimonas vesicularis. RNAcentral describes it as "bacterial SSU rRNA". It matches the Rfam family "Bacterial small subunit ribosomal RNA", at positions 338 to 937 of the family's 1533-position model. Lineage: Bacteria; Pseudomonadati; Pseudomonadota; Alphaproteobacteria; Caulobacterales; Caulobacteraceae. The record is from RNAcentral.